UACGAAGGGGGCUAGCGUUGUUCGGAAUCACUGGGCGUAAAGCGCACGUAGGCGGAUUGUUAAGUCAGGGGUGAAAGCCUGGAGCUCAACUCCAGAACUGCCUUUGAUACUGGCAAUCUCGAGUCCGGAAGAGGUAAGUGGAACUGCGAGUGUAGAGGUGAAAUUCGUAGAUAUUCGCAAGAACACCAGUGGCGAAGGCGGCUUACUGGUCCGGUACUGACGCUGAGGCGCGAAAGCUAGGGGAGCAAACAGGG
Molecule: ribosomal RNA, 254 nt
Filed under: uncultured bacterium
Lineage: Bacteria
Description: partial 16S ribosomal RNA
Rfam family: Bacterial small subunit ribosomal RNA
Source: RNAcentral